GGAGAGUUGGCAGAGCGGUCGAUUGCGGCAGUCUUGAAAACUGUUGAGGUGUUACAGCCUCCUGGGGUUCGAAUCCCUAACUCUCCGCCA
This 90-nucleotide transfer RNA is filed under the name Bacteroidota bacterium. RNAcentral's name for it is "Bacteroidetes bacterium (activated sludge metagenome) tRNA-Ser". It matches the Rfam family "tRNA". From Rfam's summary of the family: Transfer RNA (tRNA) molecules are approximately 80 nucleotides in length. Their secondary structure includes four short double-helical elements and three loops (D, anti-codon, and T loops). RNAcentral also lists the same sequence under 1 other name. Lineage: Bacteria; Pseudomonadati; Bacteroidota. The record is from RNAcentral.